CUCACUGCUCUUAAUUAUUCUAAUAUAUUCAUAAAAACAUCAUCAAAAUCAGUUACAUCACUACAGCAACAUGAGUCAGAGCAAUGAAUCUAAAUGAAUCAGUGCAAGGAAUGAAAAUGAAUCGAUUCGCUGAAUUUAUCAUGAAACAAAAUGAAUUAAAAUCAAAGUGAAUCAAUGCAGUGAUCCAAAUUGAAUUGAAUGAUUUAAGAUACAGAAAUACACCGAAUCAAAAUGAGUCAAAUCAAUUAAUAUGUGUCAAAGCAGUGAGUCAAAAUAAAUUCAUUUAAACUGAAAGUGAAUCGAUGCAUUGAUACAACGUUAGUCAAAAGUGAAUCAAAAUAAAUGAAUGCAAUGGUUUUAAUACAAUGAGACAAAAUGAGUCAAAGCAUCGAAUCAAACUGAAUCAGUACAAUGAGUCAAAGUGAGUCAGGGCAGUCAAUGAAUCAAAAUUAAUUCAUGCAAUGAAUUAAAGCAAGUCGAGACAAUGAAUCAAAAUGAGUCCAUGCAAUGAAGUAAAAUACAUAUAAGCAAUGAAUCGAUAUGAAUCAGUGCAACGACUUAAAAUAAAUUCAAACAAUGAUUUAAAUGAGUAGUAAAUGAAUCGAAAUUAGUCAGUGCACGGACUUAAAACGAGACAGAGCAACAAAUCAAAAUGAAUCAGUUCAAUGAAUUAAAAAUUAUUCAGUGCAAUGAAUCAAAAAUAGUAAAUGUGAUGAAUCAAAAAGAGUCAAAGCAAUUAAUCAAAAUUAAUCAAAAGAUUAUUCCAUAUAGUGAAUCAAAGUAGUAAAUGUACUGAAUCAAAAUGAGUCAAGACAAUAACAAAUUAAUGCACUGAUUUAAAGGACACAUGCACUGAAUCAAAGUGAGUCAAAACAAUGAAUCUAAUUAAGUCAAAGCAGUGAAUCAAAAUGAAUCAAAACAAUAACAAAUUAAUGCACUGAUUUAAAGGACACAUGCACUGAAUCAAAGUGAGUCAAAACAAUGAAUCUAAUUAAGUCAAAGCAGUGAAUCAAAAUGAAUCAAAGUAAUGAAUGAAUAUUAAUCAAUGAACUGAAUCAAAACACAGACUAAUCUACAUACAGUAUACAUGAAAGAGAUAAACAUCUCCAGCUUAAAUCCAC
This is a long non-coding RNA of Ictalurus punctatus (channel catfish), 1121 nucleotides long. NCBI's taxonomy places the organism in Eukaryota, Metazoa, Chordata, Actinopteri, Siluriformes, Ictaluridae. The record is from Ensembl.